CUUCCUACGGGAGGCAGCAGUAGGGAAUCUUCCGCAAUGGGCGAAAGCCUGACGGAGCAACGCCGCGUGAGUGAUGAAGGCCUUCGGGUUGUAAAACUCUGUCUUCUGUGAAGAACAAGCCUGUGAGUGGAAAGCUCAGGCCUUGACGGUAACAGAGGAGGAAGCCCCGGCUAACUACGUGCCAGCAGCCGCGGUAAUACGUAGGGGGCAAGCGUUGUCCGGAAUCACUGGGCGUAAAGCGCGCGCAGGCGGCGAUCUGCGUCUGGGGUGAAAGCCCGGAGCUCAGCUCCGGGGUUGCCUUGGAUACGGGGUCGCUUGAGGAUCGGAGAGGCAAGGGGAAUUCCACGUGUAGCGGUGAAAUGCGUAGAGAUGUGGAGGAACACCUGUGGCGAAGGCGCCUUGCUGGCCGAUUUCUGACGCUGAGGCGCGAAAGCGUGGGGAGCAAACAGGAUUAGAUACCCUGGUAGUCCACGCCGUAAACGAUGAGUGCUAGGUGUUGGGGGGUACCACCCUCAGUGCCGAAGCUAACGCAUUAAGCACUCCGCCUGGGGAGUACGGUCGCAAGACUGAAACUCAAAGGAAUUGACGGAAGC
Molecule: ribosomal RNA, 593 nt
Filed under: uncultured bacterium
Lineage: Bacteria
Description: bacterial SSU rRNA
Rfam family: Bacterial small subunit ribosomal RNA
Source: RNAcentral